AAGAGAAAUAUUGAAUCGAAAUUAAAAAAAAAAUAUGAAAAAUAGAAGAGCGAGAGAGAGAGAGAGAGAGAGAGAGAGAGAGAGAGAGAGAGAGAGAGAGAGAGAGAGAGAGAGAGACUAAGAACAACAGGGGUAAAAAUCUUGACACAAAAAGGGGAAAAAAAAAAGAAAAAAAAAAAGACCAGAUGUAAAUAUUAUCAAAAAAUCCUCAAAAAACACACUGGCGAGUUAUGAGAAUGAGGAAACACUCGCAACACACAACACGUCAGCAACACGUCUGGAGGUACAACAAGAAACACCUUAUUGAUGCCUCGUUAGGGCGGGCACAGGUGAGGCUGGAACGUUACCCCCAAGACAGGCACACACACACACACACACACACCGACACACACACAUACGCACGCACACUGGAGGUAACAGAACAGCCUAACGGAAUUUCAGAGUCAGAUAAGAAAAAAAAAAAAAAAAGAAAAGGAGGAAAGAGCAGUAAUAGUAAUAGUAGGAGUAAUAGUAAUAAAAAAACAUCGACAACAACAACAGUGAUCGCGCUAAUGUCAAAACAACGUCAUUUUUUAUCAGCAACAACAGCCAUUAACCGAGCGACUGAAAGACAAAAACAAUGAUGCAGUAGUAACAGUAAUAGCAGUAGUAGUAGUAGUAGUAACAGCAACAGCAGCAGCAACAGUAGUAGAUGUAGUAGUAGUAGUAAUAGUAGUGGUAUAGCCCAUUUCAGUGAGUGUCGAAGGCUGGUCUCGCCACAGGACAGCAGAGAAUGACAGACCGUUCCUUUACGUCCUCUCAAAACAAAGGGAGGAGUUAUAAUAUGCAAAGUCUCGUUACAGGACAGCGGAGAAUGACAAACCGUUCCUUUACGUCCUCUCAAAACAAAGGGAGGAGUUAUAAUAUGCAAAGUCUCAUUACAGAACAGCGGAGAAUGACAAACUGUUCCUUUACGUCCUCUCAAAACAAAGGGAGGAGUUAUAAUAUGCAAAGUCUCAUUACAGAACAGCGGAGAAUGACAAACUGUUCCUUUACGUCCUCUCAAAACAAAGGGAGGAGUCAUAAUAUGCAAAGUCUCGUUACAGGACAGUGGAGAAUGACAAACUGUUCCUUUACGUCCUCUCAAAACAAAGGGAGGAGUCAUAAUAUGCAAAGUCUCGUUACAGGACAGCGGAGAAUGACAAACUGUUCCUUUACGUCCUCUCAAAACAAAGGGAGGAGUUAUAAUAUGCAAAGUCUCGUUACAGGACAGCGGAGAAUGACAAACCGUUCCUUUACGUCCUCUCAAAACAAAUAAUAUGCAAAGGAGGACAUUUCAUAACAGAGAAACGAUAUAUGGCAUUGUUUCCGUUCCUUCUCGCACACACGCCACAAUUUUUACACUACUGCCAGCUUGUAUGAGAAAAAACCCAUGGUAACGUUCCCUUUAGACCAUAUCGUAACAUACUCCUUACCAUGACAUACGCUCUUUUAAACUACAUCAGAUGCGUCUUAUAAGCAAUGCCAUGAGCUCUUCAGAUGCACUUUUGCCCACGUGGGAAAAGAAAGCAAUCAGGUAGGGUGUGUCUUCUCCUCGACAUAUGCUCAGUGAUUGAAGAUUACUGAUAUCGUAACAUACUCCUUCUUACCAUGACAUACGCUCUUUUAAACUACAUCAGAUGCGUCUUAUAAGCAAUGCCAUAAGCUCUUUAGACGCACUUUCGCCCACGUGGGAAAAGAAAGCAAUCAGGUAGGGUGUCUUCUCCUCGACAUAUGCUAAGUGAUUGAAGAUUACUGAUAUUGUAACAUACUCCUUCUAACCAUGACAUACGCUCUUUUAAACUACAUCAGAUGCGUCUUAUAAGCAAUGCCAUAAGGUUUUCUGAUGCACUUUUGCUCACAUGGGAAAAGAAAGCAAUCAGGUAGUGUGUGUCUUCUCCUCGACAUCUGAUAAGUGACUGGUAUUGUUUCCGCUCCUUCUCACACACACACCACAAUAUUUAUACUACCGCCAUCUCGUAUGGAAAAAAAUCUAUGGUAUUGUUUCUGCUCCUCGCACACAAGACGCUCAUUUUUUAUACUACCACCAUCUCGUAUGGAAAAAAAAAAUCCAUGGUAACGUUCCCGCAUUUGACACUCACUGUAACAGGCCAACACAACAGUGGUAAUGGAGGGAAGAACAACAGUAAUAACAUUAAUAACAACAAUAAUAAUGAUAAUAACACCAAUUGUCAACACAUCAAAUCUUGCACACACGCGCGCACACACUCAUAUGGGUCCCCCCCUUGGACGUGCCUUGGCUGUUUAUACCCUGAUGAUGCAUAGGAAAAUAGCCCUUAUGUAUGGUAGUUCUGAAUUCUGUUAGGGGGGGGAGGGGCAGGAGGGGGGAAGGUCCUAUACUCCAUUGAUACCACUAACCUAUUUCUUCUUCUUCCUCCUCCUCCUCUUAUAUUCUAGACAAUGGAUGUAUAUUUUGAUGACUGGUUUAUGGGAAAGACCAACCCCUCAGAUAUAUGUUCUGUUAUCCUAUUUAGUACUGUUUGUAAGUCUUAAUUUGGCCUUCUCAUCAAUGGUAUUCUUUUGUUUAUAUUCCGAUUUCCUUCUUUUGUAAUUUUUUUGUUUUAUUUAAUUUUACAACAUUCCUUCGACUUACUUUCAUUCAUGUGUCAGUUUCUACAUUUCUACUUCAUUGCUUUCAUUGCUUCCUCUAACGGGCAAACCUUCUCUCUAACACAGCUACGAGAUUGCCAGUUUUCCCUCAUUGCUUUCCCUAUCUCCUUCCCUUCCUCCUCACUCCCUCAUUCCUUUCUUCAGUAACUCGAUCAUUCUUUUAUUAAUUUCUCCUUCCUUCCUUCCUUCCUCAAACGGACAAACCUUCUCUCCUAACAUUGCUCCGAGAUUCAGUUUUCACCCUAAUGCUUUACCUAUCUCCUUCUCUUCCUCCUCACUCCUUCAUUCCUUUCUUUAGUAACUCAAUCAUUCUUUUAUUAAUUUCUCCUUCCUUCCUCAAAUGGAAAACCUUCUCUCCUAACAUUGCUCCGAGAUUCAGUUUCCACCCUAAUGCUUUCCCUAUCUCCUUCUCUUCCUCCUCACUCCCUCAUUCCUUUCUUCAGUAACUCAAUCAUUCUUUUAUUAAUUUCUUCUUCCUUCCUUCCUUCCUCAAACGGACAAACCUUCUCUCCUAACAUUGCUCCGAGAUUCAGUUUCCACCCUAAUGCUUUCCCUAUCUCCUUCUCUUCCUCCUCACUCCCUCAUUCCUUUCUUCAGUAACUCAAUCAUUCUUUUAUUAAUUUCUUCUUCCUUCCUUCCUUCCUCAAACGGACAAACCUUCUCUCCUAACAUUGCUCCGAGAUUCAGUUUCCACCCUAAUGCUUUGCCUAUCUCCUUCUCUUCCUCCUCACGCCUUCAUUCCUUUCUUCAGUAACUCAAUCAUUCUUUUAUUAAUUUCUCCUUCCUUCCUUCCUCUAACAGACAAACCUUCUCUCUCUAACAUUGCUCCGAGAUUGAUAGUUUCCACCCUAAUGCUUUGCCUAUCUCCUUCCCUUCCUCCUCACUCCCCAUUCCUUUCUUUAGUAACUCAAUUCUUUUAUUAAUUUCUCCUCCCUUCCUUCCUUCCUCUAACGGGCAAAUCUUCUCUCCUAACAUUGCUCCAAGAUUGAUAGUUUCCUACCCAUUGCUCUUCCUAUCACCUCCCCUUCCUCCUCCUCCUCCUCCUCCUUGCUCUCCCAUUCAUCUAUGCAUUACACCCAUUGAUACGGGCAACAGCCAAGGCAGUUUUAAGGGGGAACCGCAGCAAUCUGUUAGCUAAGGGGGUGGGGAAGGACAAGGAUGGAAGCGAAGGAGGAGAAGGGAUUGAGGAUAGGAGAAGGAGGGGAAGGAAAGGGAAAAAAGGAGGAAAAGGAUAUGUAAAGAAAAGGAUAAGGAUGUAGGAGCAGAA
Molecule: long non-coding RNA, 3916 nt
Organism: Eriocheir sinensis (Chinese mitten crab)
Lineage: Eukaryota; Metazoa; Arthropoda; Malacostraca; Decapoda; Varunidae
Exons: 2
Source: RefSeq, a predicted model, not a curated record